Molecule: ribosomal RNA, 447 nt
Filed under: uncultured bacterium
Lineage: Bacteria
Description: partial 16S ribosomal RNA
Rfam family: Bacterial small subunit ribosomal RNA
Source: RNAcentral
AACGAACGCUGGCGGCAUGCCUAACACAUGCAAGUCGAACGAUGCCUUCGGGCAUAGUGGCGCACGGGUGCGUAACGCGUGGGAAUCUGCCCUUGUCUUCGGAAUAACAGUUAGAAAUGACUGCUAAUACCGGAUGAUGUCUCCCUGAGAGAUCUUGGGGACCAAAGAUUUAUCGGCCAGGGAUGAGCCCGCGUAGGAUUAGGUAGUUGGUGGGGUAAAGGCCUACCAAGCCGACGAUCCUUAGCUGGUCUGAGAGGAUGAUCAGCCACACUGGGACUGAGACACGGCCCAGACUCCUACGGGAGGCAGCAGUGGGGAAUAUUGGACAAUGGGGGGAACCCUGAUCCAGCAAUGCCGCGUGAGUGAUGAAGGCCUUAGGGUUGUAAAGCUCUUUUACCAGGGAUGAUAAUGACAGUACCUGGAGAAUAAGCUCCGGCUAACUCCGUG